This 331-nucleotide long non-coding RNA is filed under the name Heterocephalus glaber (naked mole-rat). RNAcentral describes it as "lncRNA (ENSHGLG00100045927.1)". Lineage: Eukaryota; Metazoa; Chordata; Mammalia; Rodentia; Bathyergidae. The record is from RNAcentral.
CUGCACGCCAGAGUCAUAAUCAACCUUAAGGGGAACUUCAGCGAAAGGAACCAAAGAAACCUGCAGACUCUGUAUCUUUACCCAGGGAUCGCUUCCUGGUGGUGAAUGUAAGCAGCUCUUCUGUGGCAUGGAGCAAUCACUAGGUGCAGUAACAGUACACUGCAAUGUGCAAAGAGGGAAAUGAAGACGAGCUCAUCCAAAGGAAACUACACAGGCAUUUUAGAUCAGCCCAAUGCAAUUAUCCAAGCUGGAAUCAUUCCAGGACACCAAGCCACACACUAAAGGUCAAAAGCAGAGGAGUGCAAGAGAUCUAGCCGAGCACUAGAGACCC